UACCACCCCCACCUUCACACCUGUGCCCAAGGUUCUCUUGUGCUGAUCCCAUGUGGAGGGAUUGACUAUGAUGAACAGACACAGAUUUGCUGCUCUGGGAAUCUACACAAUCGCCGUCAUGGAGGGUCUCAACAAGAGUGCUGUGGGGCUCAGGUUUACCCCAAAGACAGCCGGGCCCUGGUGUGUUGUGGAGAGACUCUUCACGUGAAAACCUCAAACGUCACUCAUUGCGUAGGAAACGCCUUAUACAACCCGACCACCCACACCCUCUGCGGGUCAGUCAUCCACCCGACACAGCCCGGGACCCAGUGCUGCGGGCACCAACUCCAAAACCACACACACAUCUGUUGCAAC
This is a long non-coding RNA of Callorhinchus milii (elephant shark), 354 nucleotides long. RefSeq lists it as uncharacterized. NCBI's taxonomy places the organism in Eukaryota, Metazoa, Chordata, Chondrichthyes, Chimaeriformes, Callorhinchidae. The record is from RefSeq and is a predicted model, not a curated record. The transcript is spliced from 3 exons.